UUCCACUUUCACUGCAUCGGUAGGUGGCUCAAGACCAGGCAAGUGUGCCCUUUAGACAACAGCGAGUGGGAGUUCCAGAAAUAUGGCCACUAGAUUUUGGAGGUCAAAGCGUUUACAAUUUCAUGCAUCUUUCUAAAACUGCAUUUAGCCUAAUGAGGACUGGAAGUUGUAAUGAAACACGAAUAUUGGAAUUUCUGAGAAUGAAGGAUAUCAUUAUAAUUUUCCGUUGCUUUGA
Long non-coding RNA from Asparagus officinalis (garden asparagus), 235 nucleotides. RefSeq lists it as uncharacterized. NCBI's taxonomy places the organism in Eukaryota, Viridiplantae, Streptophyta, Magnoliopsida, Asparagales, Asparagaceae. The record is from RefSeq and is a predicted model, not a curated record. The transcript is spliced from 2 exons.